This 308-nucleotide ribosomal RNA is filed under the name Vibrio cholerae. Its description in RNAcentral is "partial 23S ribosomal RNA". It matches the Rfam family "Bacterial large subunit ribosomal RNA", at positions 2202 to 2509 of the family's 2925-position model. The record is from RNAcentral. Lineage: Bacteria; Pseudomonadati; Pseudomonadota; Gammaproteobacteria; Vibrionales; Vibrionaceae.
GCCCUGACUGUAUUGAAAUUCUAACCUACGGGUCUUAUCGACCCGGGAGACAGUGUCAGGUGGGCAGUUUGACUGGGGCGGUCGCCUCCUAAAGUGUAACGGAGGCGCCCAAAGGUUCCCUCAGAAUGGUUGGAAAUCAUUCGUAGAGUGCAAAGGCAUAAGGGAGCUUGACUGCGAGACCUACAAGUCGAGCAGGGACGAAAGUCGGGCUUAGUGAUCCGGUGGUUCCGCAUGGAAGGGCCAUCGCUCAACGGAUAAAAGCUACCCCGGGGAUAACAGGCUUAUCUCCCCCAAGAGUCCACAUCGAC